Molecule: ribosomal RNA, 479 nt
Filed under: uncultured bacterium
Lineage: Bacteria
Description: bacterial SSU rRNA
Rfam family: Bacterial small subunit ribosomal RNA
Source: RNAcentral
UUGAACGCUGGCGGCAUGCCUUACACAUGCAAGUCGAACGGUAACAGGUCUUCGGAUGCUGACGAGUGGCGAACGGGUGAGUAAUACAUCGGAACGUGCCCGAGAGUGGGGGAUAACGGAGCGAAAGCUUUGCUAAUACCGCAUACGAUCUACGGAUGAAAGCAGGGGACCGCAAGGCCUUGCGCUCAUGGAGCGGCCGAUGGCAGAUUAGGUAGUUGGUGGGAUAAAGGCCCACCAAGGCGACGACCUGUAGCUGGUCUGAGAGGACGACCAGCCACACUGGGACUGAGACACGGCCCAGACUCCUACGGGAGGCAGCAGUGGGGAAUUUUGGACAAUGGGCGCAAGCCUGAUCCAGCAAUGCCGCGUGCAGGAAGAAGGCCUUCGGGUUGUAAACUGCUUUUGUACGGAACGAAAAGGUCUGGGUUAAUACCCUGGGCUCAUGACGGUACCGUAAGAAUAAGCACCGGCUAACUACG